CCUACGGGACGCAGCAGUGGGGAAUAUUGGGCAAUGGGCGCAAGCCUGACCCAGCAACGCCGCGUGAAGGAAGAAGGCUUUCGGGUUGUAAACUUCUUUUCUGAGGGACGAAGAAAGUGACGGUACCUCAGGAAUAAGCCACGGCUAACUACGUGCCAGCAGCCGCGGUAAUACGUAGGUGGCAAGCGUUAUCCGGAUUUAUUGGGUGUAAAGGGCGCGUAGGCGGGGAAGCAAGUCUGAUGUGAAAACUCAGGGCCCAACCCUCGGCCUGCUUUUGAAACUGUUUGUCU
RNAcentral lists this ribosomal RNA (290 nucleotides) under uncultured bacterium. Its description in RNAcentral is "partial 16S ribosomal RNA". It matches the Rfam family "Bacterial small subunit ribosomal RNA", at positions 338 to 642 of the family's 1533-position model. The record is from RNAcentral.